CCCCAGCCCCUUCCCGCCCCCCUCCCCGGGCAGCAGACACCAACUUCUGCUCGCGAACUCCGUCCUGCCCCUUUUUUGGCCCAGGGCGACCUCGACAGCCCUGACAGCGACAGGCCCGCCGCAGUGCCCAGAAAGGCCCCCGGUGGCCCAGCGCCUCCCCGGCUCUUUCUGGAUGGAGGCGCCUCAGGAAGGAGCUGGCUGACGCUCUGGCCUGCACUCUCCAGCCGCUGCUGACCACACCUCCCCUAGUGCAGAGGCCUCCGUGAGGAGCAGGAAAUGCUGCACCAGCACAGCUGGCUCCCCGGGAUUUUGGUCUGAACGCUAGGAUGGAGCUGGGGGCAGCGACGGAAACCUUCGUGCUGGAGCUCCGGUGUCUUGAAGAUGGGGGCCCAGGGCCUGGCACCCUGUCAGGUGGCAGCGGUGGGAGUGAGAGUCAAGAGGAAGAAGAGGCUCAGGAUAAGAACGGCAGCCCUCCACAGCCAACAAGCUCUGCCCCAACGGGAGCCAGGGAACUGGCUGAGGAAGCAGCGCCCAGACAGCUGGAGUUGCAGCGGCAACAGUCAGAGCUGCAACCAGAGCAGCAACCACAAAGCCAGCCCUCAGGAUGGCAGCUAGAAUUGAAGCAGCAGCAGCAGCAGCAGCACCUGCAGCAGGAACAGUUACAGCAGAAGCAGGAGGAACAGUUACAGCAGCAGCAGCAGCUGCAGCAGGAACAGUUACAGCAGCACCAGCAGCAACAGCAACAACACCUGCAGCAGGAACAGUUACAGCAGCACCAGCAGCAACAGCAACAACACCUGCAGCAGGAACAGUUACAGCAGCAACAACACCUGCAGCAGGAACAGUUACAGCAACAACACCUGCAGCAGGAACAGUUACAGCAGCACCAGCAGCAGCAGCAACAACACCUGCAGCAGGAACAGUUACAACAGCAGCAGCAGCAGGAACAGCAGAAUCAGCAGGAACAGUUACUGCAGCAGCAGCUGCAGCAGCAGGAACAGUUACAGCAACAGAAGCUGCAGCAGCAGGAACAGUUACAGGUGCUGCAGCAGCAGCAGGAACAGUUACAGCAGCAGCAGCUGCAGCAGCAGGAACAGUUACAGAUGCAGCAGCUGCAGCAGCAGCAGCUGUUGCAGCAACAGCAGUUGCAGCAGCAAGAACAGUUGCAACAGCAGCAGCAGCCCCGUCCACUGGAGCCAGAGGAGGAGGAAGAGGUGGAGCUGGAGCUCAUGCCGGUGGACCUGGGAACGGAGCAGGAACUGGAACAGCAGCGGCAGGAGCUGGAGAGACAACAGGAACAGCGGCAGCUGCAGCUCAAACUGCAGGAGCAGCUGCAGCAGCUGGAGCAGCAGCUGGAGCAGCAGCAGCAGCAGCUGGAGGAGCAGCAGGAGGUGCAGCUGGAGCUGACCCCUGUGGAGCUGGGAGCCCAGCAGCAGGAAGUGCAGCUGGAGCUGACCCCCGUGCAGCGGGAGCUGCAGCUGGAGCUGGUGCCCGCCGCGGGGGGCGGCGGGACUUCGGCCCCGGGGCCCCCAGCCGCGGUCGUGGUGGCCCCCCCGGGCUACGUGGUGCUGCAGGAGCUCAUGGUGUUGCCGGCCGUGGCGGCGCCCGCGGUGGUGGCCAUCCCGGGCCCCGCGGGCAGC
This 1640-nucleotide long non-coding RNA is filed under the name Ailuropoda melanoleuca (giant panda). RNAcentral describes it as "lncRNA (ENSAMEG00000029373.1)". The record is from RNAcentral. Lineage: Eukaryota; Metazoa; Chordata; Mammalia; Carnivora; Ursidae.